AAUGGCUCAUUAAAUCAGUUAUCGUUUAUUUGAAAAUACCUUACUACUUGGAUAACCGUGGUAAUUCUAGAGCUAAUACAUGCUAAAAACCCCGACUUCGGGAGGGGUGUAUUUAUUAGAUAAAAAACCAAUGCCCUCCGGGGCUCCUUGGUGAUUCACAAUAACUUCUCGGAUCGCAUGGCUUUACGCCGGCGACGGUUCAUUCAAAUUUCUGCCCUAUCAACUUUCGAUGGUAAGGUAGUGGCUUACCAUGGUUUCAACGGGUAACGGGGAAUUAGGGUUCGAUUCCGGAGAGGGAGCCUGAGAAACGGCUACCACAUCCAAGGAAGGCAGCAGGCGCGCAAAUUACACAAUUCCGACUCGGAGAUGUAGUGACAAUACAUACUGAUACAGGGCUCUUUUGGGUCUUGUAAUUGGAAUGAGUACAAUUUAAACCUCUUAACGAGGAACAAUUGGAGGGCAAGUCUGGUGCCAGCAGCCGCGGUAAUUCCAGCUCCAAUAGCGUAUAUUAAAGUUGUUGCAGUUAAAAAGCUCGUAGUUGAACCUUUGGCCUGGCUGGCAGGUCCGCCUCACCGCGUGCACUUGUCCGGCCGGGCCUUUUCUUCUGGAGAACCGCAUGCCCUUCACUGGGUGUGUUGGGGACCAGGACUUUUACUUUGAAAAAAUUAGAGUGUUCAAAGCAGGCCUUUGCUCGAAUACGUUAGCAUGGAAUAAUGGAAUAGGACGUGCGGUCCUAUUUUGUUGGUUUCUAGGACCGCCGUAAUGAUUAAUAGGGACAGUCGGGGGCAUCAGUAUUCAAUUGUCAGAGGUGAAAUUCUUGGAUUUAUUGAAGACUAACUACUGCGAAAGCAUUUGCCAAGGAUGUUUUCAUUAAUCAGUGAACGAAAGUUAGGGGAUCGAAGACGAUCAGAUACCGUCGUAGUCUUAACCAUAAACUAUGCCGACUAGGGAUCGGGCGGUGUUUCUAUUGUGACCCGCUCGGCACCU
This 987-nucleotide ribosomal RNA is filed under the name Neokalmusia scabrispora. RNAcentral's name for it is "SSU rRNA". It matches the Rfam family "Eukaryotic small subunit ribosomal RNA", at positions 92 to 1088 of the family's 1831-position model. Lineage: Eukaryota; Fungi; Ascomycota; Dothideomycetes; Pleosporales; Didymosphaeriaceae. The record is from RNAcentral.